AACGAACGUUGGCGGCCUGGAUUAGGCAUGCAAGUUGAGCGUACCCAGCAAUGGGGAGCAGCGUAAGGGGCAGUAAUGCAUGGGUAUCUACCCGGGGAUCGGGCAUAGCCUGUAGAGAUACAGGGUAAUUCCCGAUGACGUCGCAAGACCAAAGCUCCGGCGUCCUCGGAGGAGCCCAUGUGAUAUUAGCUAGUUGGUGGGGUAACGGCCCACCAAGGCGAAGAUGUCUAGCGGGUGUGAGAGCACGACCCGCGCCACUGGCACUGAGACACUGGCCAGACACCUACGGGUGGCUGCAGUCGAGGAUCUUCGGCAAUGGGCGCAAGCCUGACCGAGCGAGGCCGCGUGGGCGAUGAAGGCCUUCGGGUUGUAAAGCCCUGUCGAGGGGGAGAAAAGCCGAAAGGUUUGAUCUAUCCCUGGAGGAAGCACGGGCUAAGUUCGUGCCAGCCGCCGCGGUAACAC
RNAcentral lists this ribosomal RNA (462 nucleotides) under uncultured bacterium. RNAcentral describes it as "bacterial SSU rRNA". It matches the Rfam family "Bacterial small subunit ribosomal RNA", at positions 29 to 526 of the family's 1533-position model. The record is from RNAcentral.